Molecule: ribosomal RNA, 253 nt
Filed under: uncultured bacterium
Lineage: Bacteria
Description: partial 16S ribosomal RNA
Rfam family: Bacterial small subunit ribosomal RNA
Source: RNAcentral
UACGUAGGGUGCAAGCGUUGUCCGGAAUUAUUGGGCGUAAAGAGCUCGUAGGCGGUUUGUCGCGUCUGCUGUGAAAACCCGAGGCUCAACCUCGGGCCUGCAGUGGGUACGGGCAGACUAGAGUGCGGUAGGGGAGAUUGGAAUUCCUGGUGUAGCGGUGGAAUGCGCAGAUAUCAGGAGGAACACCAAUGGCGAAGGCAGAUCUCUGGGCCGUAACUGACGCUCAUGCACGAAAGCGUGGGGAGCAAACAGG